UUUCUAGGAGCGAAUUUCGAACUUCAUCAGGAAGAAUAGACCAUAAAGGAUGAUCAGAAGUCAACGUUACCGGAUGAAAGGAAAAUCCUUGUGGUAAUGCUUUAGUGUAAUAAGGAGAUAUUUCCAAAUUCGAAUGAACGUCUUCACUUAUUAACCAAGACAAAAACUGAAACGAAGUCAAUUUAUCGCGAAAGGAGUACCGACUGCAAGUUCGUUUAUUGAUUAGUAUAUUUGGUGGUAACU
Schizosaccharomyces pombe (fission yeast) is the source of this 243-nucleotide non-coding RNA. The record is from the annotation of a GenBank genome assembly. NCBI's taxonomy places the organism in Eukaryota, Fungi, Ascomycota, Schizosaccharomycetes, Schizosaccharomycetales, Schizosaccharomycetaceae.